Acanthosepion pharaonis is the source of this 111-nucleotide non-coding RNA. The record is from the annotation of a GenBank genome assembly. NCBI's taxonomy places the organism in Eukaryota, Metazoa, Mollusca, Cephalopoda, Sepiida, Sepiidae.
UAUGGCCAUAUCACGUUAAAACACCUGUUCCCGUACGAUCAUUGAUGUUAAGCAACGUCGAGUUUGGUUAGUACCGAGAGGGUUGGCUGCUUGGAAAUAUCAGCUGCUGUA